This is a non-coding RNA of Cordylochernes scorpioides, 78 nucleotides long. The record is from the annotation of a GenBank genome assembly. Lineage: Eukaryota; Metazoa; Arthropoda; Arachnida; Pseudoscorpiones; Chernetidae.
AGGUCAAGGGAUGGGAAUCGAACCCACGACCUUCCGCUUACCGGGCAGAUGCCAUGACCACUGAGAUAAGAGGAUGCC